Molecule: transfer RNA, 76 nt
Filed under: Candidatus Dojkabacteria bacterium
Lineage: Bacteria
Description: tRNA-Arg
Rfam family: tRNA
About the family: Transfer RNA (tRNA) molecules are approximately 80 nucleotides in length. Their secondary structure includes four short double-helical elements and three loops (D, anti-codon, and T loops). Further hydrogen bonds mediate the characteristic L-shaped molecular structure. tRNAs have two regions of fundamental functional importance: the anti-codon, which is responsible for specific mRNA codon recognition, and the 3' end, to which the tRNAs corresponding amino acid is attached (by aminoacyl-tRNA synthetases). tRNAs cope with the degeneracy of the genetic code in two manners: having more than one tRNA (with a specific anti-codon) for a particular amino acid; and 'wobble' base-pairing, i.e. permitting non-standard base-pairing at the 3rd anti-codon position.
Source: RNAcentral
GCGCGAGUAGCUCAACGGAUAGAGCAACUGCCUUCUAAGCAGUAGGUUGUGAGUUCGAAUCUCGCCUCGCGCACCA